This 468-nucleotide ribosomal RNA is filed under the name uncultured bacterium. Its description in RNAcentral is "partial 16S ribosomal RNA". It matches the Rfam family "Bacterial small subunit ribosomal RNA", at positions 28 to 507 of the family's 1533-position model. The record is from RNAcentral.
GACGAACGCUGGCGGCGUGCUUAACACAUGCAAGUCGAACGGAAAGGCCCUGCUUUUGUGGGGUGCUCGAGUGGCGAACGGGUGAGUAACACGUGAGUAACCUGCCCUUGACUUUGGGAUAACUUCAGGAAACUGGGGCUAAUACCGGAUAGGAGCUCCUGCUGCAUGGUGGGGGUUGGAAAGUUUCGGCGGUUGGGGAUGGACUAGCGGCUUAUCAGCUUGUUGGUGGGGUAGUGGCUUACCAAGGCUUUGAAGGGUAGCCGGCCUGAGAGGGUGACCGGCCACAUUGGGACUGAGAUACGGCCCAGACUGCUACGGUAGGCAGCAGUGGGGAAUAUUGCACAAUGGGCGGAAGCCUGAUGCAGCAACGCCGCGUGCGGGAUGACGGCCUUCGGGUUGUAAACCGCUUUCGCCUGUGACGAAGCGUGAGUGACGGUAAUGGGUAAAGAAGCACCGGCUAACUACGUG